Molecule: long non-coding RNA, 4450 nt
Organism: Helianthus annuus (common sunflower)
Lineage: Eukaryota; Viridiplantae; Streptophyta; Magnoliopsida; Asterales; Asteraceae
Exons: 3
Source: RefSeq, a predicted model, not a curated record
ACUUUGUGAAAAAAAAAAUUUGGAAGCCAAAAGUUAAAAAGUAAAUUCCAAAAACUUUAGACCCAUUAUCAAUCCAUGACCCAGUUUAUUAAAAACUUUGAUUUUCUAAAUCAUCAUAGUCAAUAGGUGUUGUCAGAAAAAUCCAAAUCUAGCGAGAAACAUAACAAAUCCAGCCAACCUAUUUUGCAUCCCUGUCAUGGUUGUAUGUCCAGAUCCAUAAGAGAUCUGGUUUUUGUUGAAGUUCUGGUCAUGUGCCUUGCUACUUUGUAAAUUUGGUCGAAUCUCUGAAGUUUGACACCCAAGAAAAACACUUAAUAUAAUCCGAAGACUCGUCUAGUACAGUUUCAGUUUGCCGGAAUUCAAGACCUCGCCGGAGAACAUCAUACAUCAUUGAUAUAACACGAAAUGUAAGCUCUAAUCUAUGUCUUUCUCUUCGUCUUUCUCAUAGAAUCAAAACUCCUAUCUUUAUUUCUGUGAACGACCUUUAUGAGGAAUGAAUUGGAAGGUUAAAGGGGGUUAGGGUUCGUAUUGUAUUGUUUGAAGAAGAGGUAUGACAGUGGAGGUGGUCGGCAUUAGGUGGGAGUGGGAAGGGACUAAAUACCUUAUACCAAAAGGUAGCAAGCAUUCAUAUAUGUUAACAGAUAAACUGAAUGAACAGUGUUAAACACUGCUCAUUGGAGGAUCUAGGCGGUGACGAGUCAUCACCACAUAAACACCUGCCCUAAUUUACCACCAUCGAGUCAUCCAUGAAACCCAAGUCAUACAUAUCUUGAUUGGUUCACAAGGGCGGUGCCUUCACCCCUCCAGUCCAUAUUUAAGGUGGUGAGAAAGAGGUGUCGAUUGAUGAUGGUGGAACGGUUAACGGAGGAGCACCGCCGCCCCUUCUGUCCAUCUUGUCUGAUCGACGCCUAUCCUGUCUUCAAUCUCCUCGGCUGAGCGCCUGUUUAGUGAAUACCUGUCGUUGCCGGCGGCCAUUUGAGUCUGAUUCUGGCAGCAACGGCUAUUCCGAUGGAGACCUAUUGUUGCCGGCGGCCAUUUGAGUCUGUUUCUAGCGGCGACGGCCUUCAGAUUUCUCCAUGGUAACCUCUUUUUAUCUCCAUUCUUGAGUUUUAUACUUUUAAAGCUUUUGGUAUAAUGCAUGACUUCUCUAAUUUCAGAACUCUUUGGAUCUGUAAAGCCUAAAGAAUUUCUGGUGUAAAACCCUAAGUCUACUAUGAAUUUCUAGGGGUGGAGUUUAAUUGUUGAUAUCCAGUAAUCUUGAUUAUUGGGUUCUGAAAUAUGAAAUCCGGUGAUCAUGAAGUUGUAAAGGUGGAAUCUUUGCAUGUUAGGAGGUCUUUGUUCCUGAAUGGGGUCUUUGAUUUGUGUUGUUGUAGUCUUUGUAUCUAAAUGGGGAAUUUGAUUGUACCACCGUUUCGAGACCGUAAGUUAGUCUUUGUUUUUGCAACCUCCGUUGCAGCCAUUAUCAACCAGUUGAACUUCACCCGACCUGUUGGAAUUAAGGGUAUAUGGAACUGAAAGUUAUAUUUGGUCGUUGCGUACCGAGUUCGUUUGCUGGCUAUGAUGACUUUGGUAAAAAAAAAGUUGAGGUUUGAUGUUGCAUAGCAAGGAUGGCGAGUGCAGUUUUUGCUAUUAGCAACCUGUUAUGCAGCUAUGACAACCUCAAUACCUAUCCUGAGCCGUCUAUUACAAGUCAUUAAAAAACCAAAAGGAGUUCCAAUUCCAUAAACGACCUCAUUAAAAUGAGUGAAUCAUUUCCGUUUGAAUGGAUCAGUAAAAAUGGAAAGAAGGGUUUCAUGUAACUUCAAUGACUACAGCUAGCAGUCGUUGGGGUGUUGUGAUGUCAACAAACGCAAGAUUUUUUUACCAGGUAUUGUUAUGUGCUUUUAUCGAGCAUAUAAAAGUUAUAGCAGAAUGUUAAAUUUGCAAAUUUGAAUGCAUAUUGUUAAUAUUUUGGUAAGUAACAACAGUGCAUUUGAGUGCAAAGUAAAUUAUGACGAAGAAGAUUAUUAAGGAAGGUGAUGGGUAUGAAGCACCUGUUAAUGGUAAUCAAGUUGAAGGUAAUUCUAUAUUUUUUAACUCGGACUCUUCAUGAGUUGAGCUCGAGUCAGGUGAGCUCAAGCGUGGUUCGAAUUUUCAACCAAGCUGGCUUGAUUCAGCCUGGCUUGAAUUUUAAACUGAAUUAACUAUUUGAACUGGCCUCGGCUACUUGCAGACCGGUCACGUGGUCGUGCGGUGACAGGUGACAGAAUCAACCAUCAUUAUCACUGUUCUUAUACUUCUUUGGUAUGGAUCUUUAUUGUUGUACAUGGAUUAUAAUGUGGAGAAUGAAAUACGACAAGGAGUGGAGAAGUAUUUCAUUGUGAAUUACAUCACACUUGACAUCUUGCGUGCUUUUUUUCACUAUGUUUUUUAAUUAAAAAUGGAUAAUGAAUUGUGAUCCCUAUGGGUCGAGUGGAAAAUAUGAGAACAUAGUCUUGCGUUGACAACAAUUUCAUUGUUCUUGUAAACCACCAGGGACACGUCUUGCAUCGCCUAAAAAAAUUUACUACUAGACACGAGUAGUUGUUGACCCGUGAUUUUUCUGCCGCAACGCGCGACGGUAUAACACUAAUCUAAUCUAAAUCUAUCAAAUCUAUUAAUAGAGGAUUUGAAUGAAUAGUGAUACUGAAAAUCACAACCGUCCGUUUUGAUCCCACGGUUUAGAUAAGUGAAGGUUCCACGCGUCUCCUCCAAAGCCUUUCAGAUUUCAUUAGUGAAUUAAAUCUGAAAACAAAAUGUUCAAUUAAAAAACAUGAGUAGUUAAUUAGUGCGUAAAAAGAAGUGAUAACGGAUUUGAUUUUUACAGGUCCUGGUUGUUCGUCAGUUGUAGAAAGGGCAUAGCUGGAAAACGGGUUGGAUCCGCAAUUUAGUUUUGGGAUUACUUCGAGAAGAUAUGCAAGUUUGUGUUUAUUCAUUAAUUUAAUUGUUAAGUGUAGCAUAAUUGUUAUUUCAUGAAACUUUGCAAUUUCAAGAGAAUGACACUGCUUGGACGCGCUUUUAGUGUUACCUGAGGCAUGUGACUUUCAUUUCUAUAGCUAUUGACACAGGUCACAACUUAUGCUGGUAUUGCAUGGCUUUUUUUUUUAAUCAAUGACAGCCUGUAAUUGUCAGGAAAUCGUUUUAGUGUGAUUCACGUGUAUGACCCGUUGGCCGUUACCAUCCCGUCCAUCAGUAUGUCAUAUAAGAUUACCAAAAAUGUUUAUCUUUUCAUUUAUAAACAAACGAUUCUGGAGAUCUUAUGCCUUCAAAAUGGACUUUUGGGCGAAUUUCAACCUAUUUUAUUCAUAACUAACUAUUGCCAUAAUUUACCAGUAAUCUAAGGUGAAUAAUUUAAUUUAAUUGUCUAUUAUAUAUAAUUUACAUGUUUAUUCCUUCUGAGUACGACUCCCAUACAAUUCUUCGGAGAGCUGGAGUAGCGUAUAAAAAGGGGUGAUGGAAAGCAAACCUAAACGAUGCUUAAUAUGUCUGCAAAAAAUAUGCUUUCACAAUCGAACAUAAUAGAAAAAAUGUUGAGGCAACCUGCUGUUUAAAACCAUCAUAGAAAUGAAUGAUGGAAUCAAGAGAAUUGGAGGACAUUAAAGGCGAAGCGUACAGGUGCUAGAGGAGAUUAAAAGCGAAGCGUACUGGUGCUAUAGGAGAUUAAAGGCGAAGCGUACGAGUGCUAGAAGAGAAGAUGAAAGGUGAAGAGUACGGAUGGGCAAAUAGUAGAAGUCAAGUUUGGGGACUGAAUCAAGAGAACUGAAGCAAUUUCACUCACAGGCCUGGACUUUGGCUAAUGCACCUGGGUUUCUUUUUAUUCUGCUAUAUGAUGAGGUUGUUGGGUCGAAGAUCGCACGUAAUGGUUAGAAGAUAUAAUAUGUGGCGGCAGCGGUCAGGUUAUGAGAUCUAAGAGGCAAAGAUCAAGUUAUAAGAUCCUAGAUCUGUCUCUCUAUUCACAGUUUUGAAGUUAUUGGAGUUAAAAGUAAACAUAUAUCAACUAUAACAUGAAUUACCCUCUUACAACAACCUAUGUCAUGCUAACAAGGCAAAAAAACAUAUUGCAAUCGCGCAACGUGUGACAAUGGAUAACACUAGUUAACAUUCAUUCACAAGAUCCAUUUUUGCAUAAAGAUACAACGAUUUGAGAAAGUACACAUUAAAAAUUCAAGAUUUUGGAUUGAUAAAUGAUAAAGAUUUCAAGAAACUAAAGAAACCCUUUUGAGGAUCUUUAGAUUUUGAAGGAAAUUUAACUAAUAUCAAACGGCAUGGAUGAAAUAAGUGCGGAAAUUGAAUCUUUUUCACUACCCAACUUUUAAUUUGCUUGAAAUUUUUAAAGAAAACAAAAAAGAUUUAAACUUUAUGCAUGUUGAGACAACAAAAUAUAGACCGAAGAUAGUAGCAAGGGUGGUUAGGCAGAAGGGUUAAAGGGUUU